AGUGAACGCUGGCGGCAGGCCUAACACAUGCAAGUCGAACGGCAGCACAAUAGAGCUUGCUCUUUGGGUGGCGCGUGGCGGGCGGGUGAGGGAUGCAUCGGAAUCUGUCCAUUUGUGGGGGAUAACCUCGGGAAACCGUUACUAAUACACCACAUGCCCUACGGGUGAAAGAAGGGGAUCUUUGGACCUUUCGCAGAUGGAUGAGCCGAUGCCGGAUUAGCUAGUUGGAGGGGUAAAGGCCCACCAAGGCGACGAUCCGUAGCUGGUCUGAGAGGAUGAUCAGCCACACUGGGACUGAGACACGGCCCAGACUCCUACGGGAGGCAGCAGUGGGGAAUAUUGGACAAUGGGCGCAAGCCUGAUCCAGCCAUGCCGCGUGUGUGAAGAAGGCCUUCGGGUUGUAAAGCACUUUUGUUGGGAAAGAAAAGCAGCCGGUUAAUACCCGGUUGUCAUGACGGUACCCAAAGAAUAAGCACCGGCUAACUUCGUG
This 490-nucleotide ribosomal RNA is filed under the name uncultured bacterium. RNAcentral describes it as "partial 16S ribosomal RNA". It matches the Rfam family "Bacterial small subunit ribosomal RNA", at positions 29 to 507 of the family's 1533-position model. The record is from RNAcentral.